This 300-nucleotide ribosomal RNA is filed under the name Paraglomus sp. Its description in RNAcentral is "SSU rRNA". It matches the Rfam family "Eukaryotic small subunit ribosomal RNA", at positions 591 to 895 of the family's 1831-position model. Lineage: Eukaryota; Fungi; Glomeromycota; Glomeromycetes; Paraglomerales; Paraglomeraceae. The record is from RNAcentral.
CCAAUAGCGUAUAUUAAAGUUGUUGCAGUUAAAAAGCUCGUAGUUGAACUUCAGACCUGGCUGGGCGGUCCGCUUAACGGCGUGUACUGUCUGGCUGGGCCUUACCUCUUGGUGAGCCGGCGUGCCCUUUAUUGGUGUGCGUCGGGGAACCAGGACUUUUACCUUGAGAAAAUUAGAGUGUUCAAAGCAGGCCUAUGCCCGAAUACAUUAGCAUGGAAUAAUAAAAUAGGACGUGCGGUUCUAUUUUGUUGGUUUCUAGAGUCGCCGUAAUGAUUAAUAGGGAUAGUUGGGGGCAUUGGU